GUGAUGGUGGUGGUGGCGAUGGCUACUUUCCUCUGCUCAGAGAGAACCCCUGCAUGUCCUUCGUCGUGAUGCAAAAGAGCAGUGGAUGCAGAAAAUGUCUCUACCUGCCAGGAUGGUAUAAGAGCAUGAACUGAAUCACCUGUUGGUGCAGAAGGCUUGGAGGACUGCUUUUGAAACAGUUGUUCAAAUUUCCUGCACCUCUUCGUAGCCGUUGUCUGAUUGCUGCAUUCUGGGGAGACUGAAGUUAAGAAGCCCUCACCGACACCAACACUACGUUGCUGUGUUGUUUUCUUCCAAGGUCGGGCACAGUAAAGGAGACGACUCUGUAUCAAGGCACUACCCAGAGGGAGGAUGUUGGCCUUCUCCUGAUGGGAAAAUGUCUUCUUUCUCAUGGCGUGGCCAGGACUGCACUGACCCUACCAUCCACUCUACCUCUCCGGAAAGGGACUUGACAACCAGUCAAGAUGGAAGUGCAGAGAUAUA
Molecule: long non-coding RNA, 483 nt
Organism: Sycon ciliatum
Lineage: Eukaryota; Metazoa; Porifera; Calcarea; Leucosolenida; Sycettidae
Exons: 4
Source: RefSeq, a predicted model, not a curated record